Molecule: ribosomal RNA, 497 nt
Filed under: uncultured bacterium
Lineage: Bacteria
Description: partial 16S ribosomal RNA
Rfam family: Bacterial small subunit ribosomal RNA
Source: RNAcentral
GACGAACGCUGGCGGCGUGCCUAAUACAUGCAAGUAGAACGCUGAAGAGAGGAGCCUACUCUUCUUGGAUGAGUUGCGAACGGGUGAGUAACGCGUAGGUAACCUGCCUUGUAGCGGGGGAUAACUAUUGGAAACGAUAGCUAAUACCGCAUAACAAUGGAUGACACAUGUCAUUUAUUUGAAAGGGGCAAUUGCUCCACUACAAGAUGGACCUGCGUUGUAUUAGCUAGUAGGUGAGGUAAUGGCUCACCUAGGCGACGAUACAUAGCCGACCUGAGAGGGUGAUCGGCCACACUGGGACUGAGACACGGCCCAGACUCCUACGGGAGGCAGCAGUAGGGAAUCUUCGGCAAUGGGGGCAACCCUGACCGAGCAACGCCGCGUGAGUGAAGAAGGUUUUCGGAUCGUAAAGCUCUGUUGUAAGUCAAGAACGGGUGUGAGAGUGGAAAGUUCACACUGUGACGGUAGCUUACCAGAAAGGGACGGCUAACUACGUG